UUCUGUAGUUACACUUUUAUUACUGUGAUAAAGAUGGCUUUAUUUUUAUGGAGGUGGACUUACGGAGUACACAAUACCCAUAAAGCACAGUGCUGUGGCAAUUUGCAGACGUGUUGAGAGCCACGUGCUCAGCUCCUGCAGCAGGUUCCUUCCAGCUGCCUUCUGAGCACAGCGGAGGGGCUCUGAGGUGGUACACAGCACUGUAGUGCUCAGCCCCUGCACAGCUGCAAACACACCAGGCUCCACCUCCGGGGCUGCCCGGCUGCCUCCUGCAUGCAUGGGAGGCCUCACACAGCCCUGGAGGUUUCAUCCAGAACGCUGCACCUACAGCACAGCCUCCCUGUCCCAGGAUGGGGAUCAGUUCUGCCCACUCACAAACUGAUUUUCUUCCUGUAACUCCACACGUACUGCAGCAGCAGCACAUUACUGUCCACAGGACUGCUGUGAUUCGCUGCCCCUCAGGGCAGGCAGCACAGCUGUGCAGGUUUUGUCUUGGAUCAUUUCAGGAGUUCACCUCACCGGAUUCCCCUGGGAAUGACAGCUGAAGUCACCAAAUAACGGCAGAACUGAAGCUGCUGUUUUAGAGAAUUCUAUCAAAUUAAAAAUUCUCUGAGAAAUAAUUCCUUCUGCUUUUAAUAGCGACUUCAGAGUUAAAACCCUUCUACAUUUAAUCAACCUGCUUAAAAUUCUUGCCCCCAGCAGGAAAGAGUCUCAAUCAGAGGGAGACAAACAUUCAUUAAGCCCUGUACAAUAAACCUGCUCUGCAGCCGAAGUGCUAUUAAUAUCAUUUUACAGAAAGAGGAAAUGGAAGAAUAGUGAGAUGGGAGUAACUUGCUUGGGGUCACAAGAAGGUUCACGAAGGCACGGUAGAGCAGUAAACCUUGAAUCAGAGCUGCUACAACCCGGAGCAGUGUGCCCUCCUUGCUGUGCUUUGCACACUGCCUGCCUAUUACCACUCAUUAUUAUCAAAAAAAAAAAGAAAAGGCAAUAAAGCUCAUAAGAAGUGAACACACUGAUCUAUCAGAGAUCUGAACUUUUGUGGGGUGAAACCCUAAAACGUGAUAAAAGUGACUCUUCUUAUUCUCAUUUCCCUAAUGGAAAUGCUUAAAAUGGUUACAAAGGGGUGCAGCCCUUCCCCACUGCCCACCAUCUCUCUUCCCCCGAUGACAUUUGCAUUUCAGUGCAGCAUGCCUUAUGCUUGGAAAGCAAAUACAUAUUUUACUUGUCAAAAUAAGAUAGGGAACAGAGUUGCUCAUACUAUAUUACACUGGCUGAACAGACGCUCAGAGGAACAAAGAGAAUCAGCAGUGCAAGACCUGGCACUGGUUUUCACGUCAGCUGCCUUACUAUGAUAUUAGAUCACUGCAGACGUAAAGUGGAGGGCUAAUUCACUGCUGUGUGCAGGGAUUUACACCUGUGGAUGUUACCAGAGCUGUGCCCUGGCCACGCAGCAGUUGAGGGACAAGGAGUAGUGCUGUGCUAGCUGUGUGCUGACUGCUGGAUGCUCACCCAGGCACAUUCCGUAGGAGCACCUCAGAGCAGAUAUGCGCUGCCGCUCCUGCACCAUGGCCUGUUCCCAGCCUCUGCUUACACCCAUCCUUACACUGUGCCAGCAGGAGUGCAGAAAUUGAAAAGCCAUCACGACUCUGUAUCCAGAGGGCCUGCAAUAUGGCCAGGACGGAAUGCAAGCAAAGGGCAAAAAAGACCCAAACACUGCAAUGCAUAACAGUGCUCCCACUGCGUGAGCACUCAGUGCAGCCCUGGGGGUGCCCCCGGCACACAGAGCUCUGCCCUCUCCUCCUGCACUUCCCCUUUGCAGGUUGGUUGUCCCUGCAGAAGGAAAUAGGAACUAAAAGGACUUUUAGUUGACUUAAUUAAUGCUUGUAACACUAGCCAAUUGACAUCAGCACCUUGUCUGUCACUCACUGUGGGAGGGGGAGAUGUGUUAAAAGUAACAGCCAAUUUCCGCUCCUCCAGCCGGAGCUUUGCUGCAAGGCAGCAGCAAAAAGCCAAGGCCAAGUCAGUUAGUGACAUCUUAAGGCUGCUCCCAGAACUGGCUAUGUUAUGUUUGCUGUAUUUGGUACAAAGUGAAGAACCAGAGCACUGCUGUUGCUCAGAGCAUUUGCAGGUGGGUGCUGCUGGGUCACAGCUGGCAGCCAGCAACAUUGCUGCCGUGCGGCUGCAGAGCUCGGAUCAGUUCAGAAUAAACAUCAGCAUUUAAUUUAACAGCCCUCCUACCCAUGAAUCUGAGAACAUUGAUCCAAAACUAAGCAAGCACAGGCAGAAGAACAGGGGUUUCACACAUGGGCCAUGGCAGCACAACGCUCCUCCACCAGCAUCGCAACCGGGCACCCAGCAGAGGUGUGCGAGUGGAGAAUGUUUGAGAGCUUUUAUGGUUGACAGACAAUGUUCUUUUAUUUAACUAACUGAGAUGGUACCUCAUAUCAAUUUACUGAGCAAACAGUGAGCUCCAGCAUCUGAUCCCAUUGACACAUUGGUAGAGUUUGCCAGUGGAGCCUCUCGGGACCUCUGGCACAGAAAGGACAAACCCUGGUGUCAGUACAACUACCGACAUGCCUUUUUAAUACAUAACUACUGCCAUUAUAUAUCAUCAGAGCCGAUAGAGUUCAGCAUAGAAGGGUAUUUUAAAGUGCCAAUAAAACCACUUAGCUUUUACAACGCGCUGCGUUUACUCCUCUGCCCCCUUCCUCCAAAAAAGGCUUUUCUUUUGAACUAAGCAAUUUAUAUGUUGGGUCAGUGUUAUAAAGUAGGAGUUUAUAGCAGAUUGCAGUGGAGUGGAAGCUGGAAUAAAGGCAGCUCGCUUUUAAAUGCAGCACGGAGGGAACUUUACAUUGAUAGGAUUAUCACCUGUUUGUGCACUGAGGAGAUGCGCUCACUGAAGGGCUGCAGAUCCCAUCUCUAUAACUGCCGCCCUAUUUAUUUGCUUCUCUAACCAAUCCCUCAUACUACAACUUUCCUUUGUCUUGGUUAGCAUCAGCGCUAUCUUUUUAAUUUAAUUAAUCUUUUUAAUUUAAUGUUUAAUUUAAUCUUUUCCUUUCCCAAACCCACAGUAUGAUCUUCACAAGGCCAGUGAUAAAAGCACCUCUGAGCUGGAUUAUCACUGUAAGACGGUCCUCUGCCUGCACCAUCACCUUUGAUCUGGAGCCACUUGGCAGAGCGCAGGACUGCAAGCAGCCAGGCUGCCUUUCACCUGCCCUGGCACCUGGCCCAGCCCUGCUGCACCUGCACACGCAGCACUGCAGCACUGCAGCACCGGGCGCUGUGGCCGCACGUCCCCAUGCAGCAGCGCAGAGCACAGCGGGCUGCUCUCAGCUCCCAUCCGCACACACGGGUUGGUGCUCCCUGCGCCCUCUGCUUCGCCCCGGCGGCCCCAACGCUUUGAACUCACCUCCCGAAUCCCAACGAAGCACAACCGGGAGCCGUUGACACUGUACUGAACUUUUGGGGCUGGCAUGGCAGUUAGCAACUUAUUAAUGCCGGACCUUUAGAGGAAAGUUCUCACUCACCAUCCAUUAUAAAGAGCUUUGUCAAACUGUAACCAUUUCGAUUUGACCACAAUUGCCCCUGGAGGAGUUGGUGAAAGUUAUACCAGCUGUACAUUUAUUUCACUGUUUUUCCUCCCUUUUUUCUGAUCAUCAGUCUGUCAAGGCUAUCGAGAUUUACAUUUAAAUGUAAAACCGGACUGUCCACCGAACGGCCUUUGAAGCUAUUAGCUGUGAAAGAUAAUCAAUCGGGAAUGGGCCCCCGCAGAGCACUUUUCAAGCAGAGUCAUCACCAAAAAGCAAUUUUGCUGGCAGGCU
This 3821-nucleotide long non-coding RNA is filed under the name Gallus gallus (chicken). Its description in RNAcentral is "lncRNA (ENSGALG00010016485.1)". The record is from RNAcentral. Lineage: Eukaryota; Metazoa; Chordata; Aves; Galliformes; Phasianidae.